This 1683-nucleotide long non-coding RNA is filed under the name Homo sapiens (human). RNAcentral describes it as "HSALNT0202975". The record is from RNAcentral. Lineage: Eukaryota; Metazoa; Chordata; Mammalia; Primates; Hominidae.
GGACAAAUAAGGGAAUAUAUGCUGGCCACCUCAGCCAGGGAUGGCAACCCGCUGGGGUCUCCUUCCGCUGUGUGGAAGGGUUGUUUUUCUGCUCUUCGCAAUAAAUCUUGCUGCUGCUCAUUCUUUGGGUCGCCGCCGCCUUUUAUGAGUUGUAGCACUCACCGCGAAGGUCUGCAGCUUCACUCCUGAAGCCAGCUAGAGCCAGCGAGACCACGAACCCACUGGGAGGGAUGAACAACUCCGGACUCGCCACCUUUAUGAACUGUUAACACUCACAGCGAAGGUCUGCAGCUUCACUCCUGAAGCCAGCGAGACCACAAACCCACUAGGAGGAAUGCACAACUCCUGAUGCCCUGCCUUUAAAAGCUGUAACGGUCACUGCGAAGGUCUGCGGCUUCAUUCCUGAAGUCAGCGAAACCACGAACCCACCUGAAGGAAGAAACUCCGGACACAUCCGAACAUCAGAAGGAACAAACUCUGGACACACCAUCUUUAACUGUAACACUCACCACGAGGGUCCGCAGCUUCAUUCUUAAAGUCAGCGAGACCAAGAACCCACCAAUUCCGGACACGCAAGUUCUUCUGUUCCAAGAAAAAUGGUCUUCUUACUUCCUUGAUGGCUCACAACAUGCUCCUUUCUACUGCAGGAACACUGUAUAACUUCUGUCAAGCAUGAACUCCCCACCUCUGUUUGACAUACUUCUCUACUUUCAGAACUCAGCUGAACUAUCGCUUCUCAAGGGAGCACUCAAACUUCCUGAACAGAACCACCUUAGAUAUUGCUGGCCAGCUCAUGAAUUGUGGCUUGUGGUCCAGCUAAUCUUUCCUAGUCUAUUCAGCUAUGGCCAGAGAAGAUGUGCUUAACUUGUGGAGCCUUACUGUUUCUCUAAGGACAUUCUUCUACAUAAUGUUGCGUCAGUAGAAUAAUUUUCUCACCAAGUGAUAGCUAGGUAGGUCAGUAAAUCCUCUCCUACACCGUAGUUAUUUGCUUUAAGCCAACUUGAAGUGAACUUCUGUCUCUUCUUUAAUCUGAGAAUCUUACGUCUUCAAGCCCUGUUCACACCGCUUGUCCCAUUAGAAUAAACCUUAUUUAAGAGACGUGGUCUAACUAUGUUGCCCAAGCUAGUCUCUUCGAGUCAAGCUAUCCUCCUUCCUCAGCCUCCCAAAGUGCUGAGAUUACAGGUGUGAGCCACAGCACCCACCUGGGUCUUGCAUAAUUUGACUCUGGCCUAUUCUCCAACAUCAACUCCUACAAUUCUCUUCCUCGCUAUUCUCUGGACAUGCCAGUUUCACAUUCAUGAAUAGUCAAUGAACUUGAAAUCUUCAAUUAUAACUGUGAAUUUGUCUAUUUCUCUUUUCAGCUCUAUUGGUUUUUGCUUCAUAUAUUUUGAAGCUUUAUUUUUUUAGUGUGUACACUUUUAUGUCUUCUUGCUGGUUGAACUUUUAUCUUAUGUCACGCCUCUUCUUGUCUCUAGUAUUGUCAUUAAUUUAAAGUCUAAUGUUUCAGGUACCAAUAUAGCCAGUGUAUUGGUUUUUAAAUUACUAUCGCAUGGUAUAUAUUUUCUUCAUAUUUUUAUUUGCAAUGUGCUAAUGUCAAUAAAUCUGAAGUGAGUUUCUUUUAAGCUGCAUGUAUGGGUAAAUUUUUAAAUCCAGUGUUUGUUUUUUGAUUGCAGUAUUCAAAUC